This 524-nucleotide ribosomal RNA is filed under the name uncultured bacterium. RNAcentral's name for it is "partial 16S ribosomal RNA". It matches the Rfam family "Bacterial small subunit ribosomal RNA", at positions 28 to 523 of the family's 1533-position model. The record is from RNAcentral.
GACGAACGCUGGCGGCGUGCCUAAUACAUGCAAGUCGAACGCUUCUUUUCUACCGAGUGCUUGCACUCACUUGAAAAGAAGAGUGGCGAACGGGCGAGUAACACGUGGGUAACCUGCCCAUCAGAAGGGGAUAACACUUGGAAAUAGGUGCUAAUACCGUAUAACAAUAGGAACCGCAUGGUUCCAAUUUGAACGGCGCUUUCGGGUUUCGCUGAUGGCUGGACCCGCGGUGCAUUAGCUAGUUGGUGAGGUAACGGCUCACAAAGGCAAUGAUGCAUAGCCGACCUGAGAGGGUGAUCGGCCACACUGGGACUGAGACACGGCCCAGACUCCUACGGGAGGCAGCAGUAGGGGACCUUCGGCAAUGGACGAAAGUCUGACCGAGCAACGCCGCGUGAGUGAAGAAGGUUUUCGGAUCGUAAAACUCUGUUGUUAGAGAAGAACAAGGAUGAGAGUAACUGUUCAUCCCUUGACGGUAUCUAACCAGAAAGCCACGGCUAACUACGUGCCAGCCGCCGCAGUAA